CCCAGACUCCUACGGGAGGCAGCAGUGGGGGAUAUUGGACAAUGGGGGAAACCCUGAUCCAGCGACGCCGCGUGAGUGAAGAAGUAUUUCGGUAUGUAAAGCUCUGUCAGCAGGGAAGAAAGAAAUGACGGUACCUGACCAAGAAGCCCCGGCUAACUCCGUGCCAGCAGCCGCGGUAAUACGGAGGAUGCGAGCGUUAUCCGGAUUUAUUGGGUUUAAAGGGUGCGCAGGCGGUCUGUUAAGUCAGCGGAAAAAGCCCGGGCCCCACCCCCGGCGAGCCGUUGAAACUGGCGGGCUGGAGUUGGAGAGAAGUACGCGGAAUGCGCGGUGUAGCGGUGAAAUGCUUAGAUAUCGCGCAGAACCCCGAUUGCGAAGGCAGCGUACCGGCUCCACACUGACGCUGAGGCACGAAAGCGUGGGUAUCGAACAGGAUUAGAUACCCGCGUA
This 447-nucleotide ribosomal RNA is filed under the name uncultured bacterium. RNAcentral describes it as "bacterial SSU rRNA". It matches the Rfam family "Bacterial small subunit ribosomal RNA", at positions 330 to 792 of the family's 1533-position model. The record is from RNAcentral.